AGGAUAUAACUUAAAUAAAGUAUUUUGCUUACACCAAAAACAUAUCUAUUAAACCAGAUUAUCCUGAG
This 68-nucleotide transfer RNA is filed under the name Pseudotriton ruber (red salamander). RNAcentral's name for it is "tRNA-Val". Lineage: Eukaryota; Metazoa; Chordata; Amphibia; Caudata; Plethodontidae. The record is from RNAcentral.